AGGUUGUCGGGGAGAGGUCGCGGCCCGCCUGGCUGAAGGUCGGGGAGAGGUUGCAGUCCUGGUUGCUGAAGGUCGGGGAGAGGUCGCGGGCCUGGCUGGAGUCCACCUUCUGGAGCUGUAGCAGGGGGCCUUCGCGCUCCGGGGACUGGGUCAUGAUGGGGGUGGGGGCUGGAGAAGGGGAGGUUGUGGCGGUGGGAUGGGUUGGGGUGUUGUGGGGUAUUGGGAUGGGGGUUGGAUGUGUUGAGUUUGACUGAAAGGAUGU
Molecule: long non-coding RNA, 262 nt
Organism: Engraulis encrasicolus (European anchovy)
Lineage: Eukaryota; Metazoa; Chordata; Actinopteri; Clupeiformes; Engraulidae
Exons: 3
Source: RefSeq, a predicted model, not a curated record